GAUGAACGCUGGCGGCGUGCCUAAUACAUGCAAGUCGAGCGAACGGCCGAGAAGCUUGCUUCUCUGAUGUUAGCGGCGGACGGGUGAGUAACACGUGGAUAACCUACCUAUAAGCCUGGGAUAACUUCGGGAAAACGGAGCUAAUACCGGAUGAUAUUUUGAACCGCAUGGUUCAAAAGUGAAAGACGGUCUUGCUGUCACUUAUAGAUGGAUCCGCGCUGCAUUAGCUAGUUGGUAAGGUAACGGCUUACCAAGGCAACGAUGCAUAGCCGACCUGAGAGGGUGAUCAGCCACACUGGAACUGAGACACGGUCCAGACUCCUACGGGAGGCAGCAGUAGGGAAUCUUCCGCAAUGGGCGAAAGCCUGACGGAGCAACGCCGCGUGAGUGAUGAAGGUCUUCGGAUCGUAAAACUCUGUUAUUAGGGAAGAACAUAUGUGUAAGUAACUGUGCACAUCUUGACGGUACCUAAUCAGAAAGCCACGGCUAACUACGUG
Molecule: ribosomal RNA, 497 nt
Filed under: uncultured bacterium
Lineage: Bacteria
Description: partial 16S ribosomal RNA
Rfam family: Bacterial small subunit ribosomal RNA
Source: RNAcentral